This 1134-nucleotide ribosomal RNA is filed under the name human oral metagenome. RNAcentral's name for it is "bacterial LSU rRNA". It matches the Rfam family "Bacterial large subunit ribosomal RNA", at positions 1351 to 2487 of the family's 2925-position model. The record is from RNAcentral.
UUUCCUGGGGAAGGCUCGUCCUCCCAGGGUUAGUCGGGACCUAAGGCGAGGCCGAUAGGCGUAGUCGAUGGACAACAGGUUGAUAUUCCUGUACUUCUAUAAAUCGUUUGAGCAAUGGAGGGACGCAGGAGGCUAAGAAAAGCGUACGACUGGAAGUGUACGCCCAAGCAGUGAGUCGGCUGAUGAGUCAAAUGCUUAUCACGGAUGCGACAAGCUGUAACGGGGAGGGAAGUUUAGUACCGAAGUUUCUGAUGUCACACUGCCGAGAAAAGCUUCUAGCAAGAUUUAUAGGACCCGUACCGCAAACCGACACAGGUAGUUGAGGAGAGAAUCCUAAGGUGAGCGAGCGAACUCUCGUUAAGGAACUCGGCAAAAUGACCCCGUAACUUCGGGAGAAGGGGUGCUGACAGAGAUGUCAGCCGCAGUGAAUAGGCCCAGGCGACUGUUUAUCAAAAACACAGGUCUCUGCAAAAUCGAAAGAUGACGUAUAGGGGCUGACGCCUGCCCGGUGCUGGAAGGUUAAGAGGAGAGGUUAGUCCUUUAGGGCGAAGCUUUGAAUUGAAGCCCCAGUAAACGGCGGCCGUAACUAUAACGGUCCUAAGGUAGCGAAAUUCCUUGUCGGGUAAGUUCCGACCCGCACGAAAGGCGUAACGAUUUGGGCACUGUCUCAACGAUGGACUCGGUGAAAUCAUAGUACCUGUGAAGAUGCAGGUUACCCGCGACAGGACGGAAAGACCCCAUGGAGCUUUACUGUAGUUUGAUAUUGAGUGUUUGUGUGACAUGUACAGGAUAGGUAGGAGCCGAAGAGAUGGGAACGCCAGUUUCCAAGGAGGCAAUGGUGGGAUACUACCCUUGUUACAUGAACCCUCUAACCCGCACCUAGAAACAAGGUGGGAGACAGUGUCAGACGGGCAGUUUGACUGGGGCGGUCGCCUCCUAAAAUGUAACGGAGGCGCCCAAAGGUUCCCUCAGAAUGGUUGGAAAUCAUUCGUAGAGUGUAAAGGCAGAAGGGAGCUUGACUGCGAGACCUACAAGUCGAGCAGGGACGAAAGUCGGGCUUAGUGAUCCGGUGGUUCCGCAUGGAAGGGCCAUCGCUCAACGGAUAAAAGCUACCCUGGGGAUAACAGGCUUAUC